GGUAGCCGUAGGGGAACCUGCGGCUGGAUCACCUCCUUU
Molecule: ribosomal RNA, 39 nt
Filed under: uncultured Thiothrix sp.
Lineage: Bacteria; Pseudomonadati; Pseudomonadota; Gammaproteobacteria; Thiotrichales; Thiotrichaceae
Description: partial 16S ribosomal RNA
Source: RNAcentral